RNAcentral lists this long non-coding RNA (15588 nucleotides) under Homo sapiens (human). RNAcentral describes it as "non-protein coding ZNF460-AS1:18". Lineage: Eukaryota; Metazoa; Chordata; Mammalia; Primates; Hominidae. The record is from RNAcentral.
AACUCACCCAGCGCAUCCGACUGCACGUAAGUGCGCACCAGAACCCCCGCGUCGUCUUAGGGCCACCGCCUUAGUAUAGGCACAAGUCGGAGGGUCGAAAGGUCCCUUCUAGCUCAGGAAAAUCGAGGUCAGGAGGCGGGGAUAUUCGCCCCGAUUCAGACCCCGAACAAAGGUGCUUACCCUGCUGUGGGCUGGGCCCGCGACUUCUCGCUUGCUUUGCCUCUUUUCUGGAUCUUUUCAUAGAAGAAAAGGAUAAAUGAGCAGUUAAAAUAGCCACCCAAAGGAGGACGCCUGACAGUGUGCCCAGCCUGCUGGGAAAGGACAGACCGCCCUCUAUUGGGCCUCCUUUGGCCGGGCCCAGCCUUCGUAGGAUGCAGGGACUUCCGGGUGAUGUAAUAGGCUUCGCGUUCGCCACGUGUGGACUUCCCGUACCCUGAGGUGGGGAGGCUGCUAGUGGAGCAGGCUUGCCGGGAAGCCCAGUACUCCCAUUUCAAGCAUGAUCAGUUUGAAACGUCAGUAAGACCACAAAGCGUAGUGCCAUAUACUCAACCUAUGAUUCAACAUUGGCAGAGGGUUCGAGCGUGGAUAUAUAAAUUUGGGAGUUAUUACUGUAAACUGUUACUUCAAGUCAUGAUAUUGGGUGAGGCUAUGAAAAGAAUGAGCGUAGAUGGAUAAGUGACGGGAAAGAGGGGAACCCUGGCCCAACCCAGCAUUAACUGGUUGCAGACAGGAGAGUUUAUAAAGUCUUGUUAGGAAUUUUAACAAUCCUAGACUAUGCAAAGAUUAUAUUAUGCGAAGUCUUAGGAGUCCCCAUCAGUAACUUUUUUUUUUUCUUUUCAUGACUAUGAAAGUGAGAGAAUAAAGUCCAGCUUUCAAUGGUUUGACGAUAUAUAUGGUUAAGGAAAUAGAAAGGUGUGCAGAAAGUACUCUCCAAGAGAUUUAAUUUUGAGAUUGAAAAUAGUCAAGGAAUGGAGAUGGAGUCAAUUUCCUACACGAUGCGGUACUUUUGGAGAAAUAUUUUUGGCUAAAUUAGUGUGCAAGGAACACUGUUAUUCAUCACUGGCAAUAGUAAUUUUUGAAAAUUGAUAAAGACAUCAUUCUCUUUUUCACAUAUUUGUGACUCUUAAAUUUUUUUUUUUUUUUUUUUUUUUUGAGAUGGAGUUUCACUCUUGUUGCCCAGGCUGGAGAGCAGUGGCACAGUCUCCACUCACUGCAACCUCCGCCUCCCGGGUUCAAGCGAUUCUCCUGCCUCAGCCUCCUGAGUAGCUGGGAUUACAGGUGUGCGCCACCACGCCUGGCUAAUUUUAUAUUUUUAGUAGAGACAGGGUUCUUCCAUGUUGUUCAGGCUGGUCUCAAACUCCCGACCUCAGGUGAUCCACCCACCUCGGCCUCCCAAAGUGCUAGGAUUACAGACGUGAGCCACCCCCUCUGGCCAGACUCUUAUAAUUAAAUUUAAAUGGUUUUUUCAGAGGCAUAUGAACCAGAGCAACUCUAUCUUAAAUAGGAGCUGGGUAAAAUGAAGCUAAAACCUACUAGGCUGCAUUCCCAGACAGUUAAGGCAUUCUGAGUCACAGGAUGAGAUAGGAGGUCAGCACAAAAUACGGAUCAUAAAGACCUUGCUGAUAAAACAGGUUGCAGUAAAGGAGCUGGCCAAAACCACCAAAACCAAAAUGGUGACAAGAGUGACCUCUGGUCUUCCUCACUGCUACACUCCCAUCAGUGCCACGACAGUUUACAAAUGCCAUGGCAAUGUCAGGGAGUUACCCUAUGUGGUCUGAAAAGGGGAGGCAUGAACAAUCCACCCCUUGUUUAGCAAGUCACUAAGAAAUAACCAUAAACAUGGGCACCCAGCAACCCUUGGGGCUGCUCUGUCUAUGGAGUAGCCAUUCUUUAUUCCUUUACUUUCUUAAUAAACUUGCUUUCACUUGCACUGUGGACUCGCCCUGAAUUAUUUCUUGUGCGAGAUCCAAGAACCCUCUCUUGGGAUAUGGAUUGGGACCCCUUUCCUGUAACACAUUCCUGGCCACUACAGAAGAGACUAUACUGCAGGAACCCGUGACCCAAAGGCUAACUUUGGGUAAGUGGUGGGGUCGGGUAACACUUUUCUCGCAAACCACAAAAGGGACAAUGCUGAGGAGACCCCCCUGACUCAAAGGAAAUAGACUGCAGCACUGAUUGGAUGACUUUGGGUAAGUGGUGGGGUACCCAGGUAAAGAAUGGGAUUGGGAUAGACGCUCAAGUUAGGGGAGUUAGAGUCUCUCCUAAGGCAGAGUGGAUUAGAGGCCCCUCUUAAUAAAAGGCAAGGACGCUUGACUGACCUUGGGUUAGAGGCCCAACUUAGGAGGAUUAGAGUCCCUUCUAAGAUUUAGGGGGUUAGAGACCCCUCUCAGUAAAGUCCCUCUUGGCUAAGAAGAGGUUUGGCACCGUGGGAUGUUAACUGCUAUUGUCUUUGGAUUAAUCUGCCUUGCACUCUUUGCUGAUGGCUCCGGGCGACAGGGUUAGGCGUGUACAGGAUCGUGGGACAUGGGGAGCUUUUUCCUCCCCCAAAAGGGGAAACUUGAGAGCUGACGGGACUGCUGGAAAAAAAUCCCUUCACGACAGCAGCCGUAGCCGCCUGAACUUUUCAGUGUCACUGCAAUGGGUGGGUCUUUCUCUGGCCUCCCUGAUCAUUUUGCCUUCCCUGGGAAAGUAUUGCUUGUGGAAAAUAUUUCCUGGGAAAGUAUUGCCUGCGAAAGCAUUUCCAUAUAUAAUUUUUUUUUUUUUUUUGAGACGGAGUCUCGCUCUGUCGCCCAGGCUGGAGUGCAGUGGCGCUAUCUCUGCUCACUGCAAGCUCCACCUCCCGGGUUCAGGCCAUUCUCCUGCCUCAGCCUCCCGAGUAGCUGGGACUACAGGCGCUUGCAACCAUGCCCGGCUAAUUUUUUGUAUUUUUAGUAGAGACGGGGUUUCACCAUCUUAGCCAGGAUGGUCUCGAUCUCCUGACCUUGUGAUCUGCCCGCCUCGGCCUCCUGAAGUGCUGGGAUUACAGGCGUGAGCCACUGCGCCCGGCCCCUUUCUUAUCUUUUCUAUUACUCUAUUACUCAGGGCGACCAUCUUGCCCAGAGACCACAUGUUGAAACUCCAAGUCAGAGGUUGGAUUAAAGAUGACAGGGCCUAUCUGGGGGCAAAUUUAAGCCUUGCCAGUUUAAUAUUGGGUGCUAAGCAGAGUGGCUAAUGUGUAUGUUUCAUCACAUGUGUUUUGCUCUGGUCAGAAUGAAAAAAAGUAGUUUUCCUUUACAAUGAGGCUUGGCCCCCAGGGCGAUGGUGCCACAAGCCAGAUCACUGGGACCACUCAGAGAAAGGGAACACAGAAGCCUGGCAUGCCAGCAAAAAGGUAAGAAUUUGUUACCAGUCAGAUUUCUGACUUCUCCCUCUCUGUGCAAACGGUUGAAUGAAUGGUAAAAAUAAUAACAAUAAUAAAAAUAAUAAAUCAGUGUGUAUCUCCUCUGUAAAGUUUUGAUUAAUAUGAAAAAGAAUUCUAAGCUAGUCAAACUGGUGUAUUUUGUGCUGUGAAUUUGUUUUUCUGUAGGAUGAAACAUGGGCUUAGAACACCUGUGAGCCCACUUUUCAACAUGACCCAGCAAACUGGUCAGUAACAAACAGCUGCAGGUCCCUGAAACAAACAAACAGGAUGAAGUCUCCCCUUGUUUUAUGUCCUUGGGAGCCUGACCUUUUAACCAUGUGGCAGUACCUUCUCUUGGUCUCCACCUACUAGGGAAAAGGAAUUUUAGGGUUCAUGUCAUAGUCAGCUCUAAAAAUCAUAUAAAAUAGUUAAAAGCCUUUGCAAGCUCAAAAUUAACUACUCUAGGCUUCUGUGAAAGGAAGUAGGCACCGUCCCACACUGUAGCUCAGUAACUAAGGUUUCUGCACUUUCACAGUGGCAGUUUGGGUUUGAUACCCCACCUAGGAAGUAAGUCAUUUCUGGUUUAAUAUCUGCGUGACCUUGUCUAGUCUCUUCUCCUCCGCAGACUGUCUUAAAUUUUCCUUUCUCUAUGCACGUAGGAGAUAACCUUUGGUAAAGUUCAGAAGUUAGAAAUAUUGGCUUCUUGGCAUGGCUAAAGUUGGGUAAUAAGAGAUUUGAAAGGAUUUCUUUUUUAAAGAGCACUAUGGUUAAAAGUUAGCUUAAUUAAAAGUGGAUAGGCCAGGUGUGGUGGCUCACGCCUGUAAUCCCAACACUCUGGAAGGCCAAGGAGGGCAGAUCACCUGAGGUCAGGAAUUCGAGACCAGCCUGGCCAACAUGGUGAAACCCCGUCUCUACUAAAAAUACAAAAAAAUUAGCUGGGCGUGGUGGCGGGUGCCUAUAGCCCCAGCUACUCGGGAGGCUGAGGCAGGAGAAUGGCGUGAACCCGGGAGACGGAGCUUGCAGUGAGCUGAGAACGCGCCACUGCACUCCAGCCUGGGCAACAGAGCGAGACUCCAUCUCAAAAAAAAAAAAAAAAAAAUGCCUAUGUGGAAAAUAAUUAUUCUUGCUGCACUUUAUAUAAAUAAUCAGGCCAAGUAUAAUAAAGCAAAUCAAAUCAGUCUUACCCUAAUUUGUCUUUAGUAAAAAUGGGAAACUGGAGAGAGAAAUAUUAUAUUUCAAGAACUAUGGUAUACUUGUUAUUAAAUUCUAGUCUCAUUAGUUCUUUUUAAGUUUGUUUCUGCAAUUUAAGCUACCCUGCUUAUUCCUGUGAACCAACAUCUCUGACUGCUGCUCAGAAAAAAUAAGAGGGAUGGGUAAUGUAAAAAUCUGGAUCAAUAUUCCAAUUCUGGGCACAUUAUAAUCAGCUAACAACCCCAUGCCAGCUUAGUUCCAACAGUUGCUCAGUUCAUGAAAAGCCUUCUAAUUUAGUUUACUUAGAAUAACUUUACUUAUUUUGCUUUACUCUUGUGGAAUAUAUUGCUGUUAUACUCUUUGUGUAGGAAUACAGAACAAGCUUACUGAAUGUUUCCUUUUUUUUUUUUUUUUUUUUUGAUGGAGUCUCACUCUGUUGCUCAGGCUGGAGUGCAGUGGCGCGAUCUCGGCUCACUCUGCCUCCCGGGUUCAAGUGAUUCUCCUGCCUCAGCCUCCUGAGUAGCUGGGACUACAGGCGUGAGCCACCACGCCCCACUAAUGUUUUGUAUUUUUAGUAGAAACGGGGUUUCAUCAUGUUAACCAGGAUGGUCUUGAUCUCCUGACCUUGUGAUCCGCCCACCUCAGCCUCCCAAAGUGCUGGGAUUAUAGGUGUGAGCCACCGCACCCAGCCAGAAACUCCUGUUUUUAAAACUAUCAGAUCUGGUGAGACUCCUUCACUAUCAUAACAGCGCAGGAAAGACCCUGCCCCAUAAUUCAGUCACCCCCCACCGAUCCCUCCCAUGACAAAUGAGAGUUGUGAGAGUUACAAUUCAAGAUGAGAUUUGGGUGGGGACACAGCCAAACCAUAUCAUAUGGGGUCUCACUAUGUUUCCCAGGCUGUCUGUGAACUCCUAGGCUCAAGUGAUCCUUCGGCCUCAGCCUCCCAGGUAGCUGGGACUACAGGUGCACACCACCAUGCCCAGCUUGGAAAUCAAAUUUCAACAUGAGUUUUGGUGGAGACGAACUAUUUCCAAAUCUUAGUAUCUCCCUUACCUUAUUUGUAUAAGACGGGAUUCACAAAACACACAUAGAAGCACUUACAUUUGAUUUUUAAUAUAUGUAUUGCUAAGGUGAGCACUUACUUGAUUUUUCAGAAAUUAAAACCAGUAAUUAAUAAGGCUCACCCAUAAAUAAACAAGGAGAAGAAACCAAUCUUAAAGAAGAAUUGCAAAUAGUAUACAUAGAUACCAACAGCCCCCUUCAGACAGUGGAGCUUUGUGGUCUUCCCCUUGAGUUGGCUGGAUUUAGUGACUAAUUGUGGAAAAUGAAAACAGUAACUUGACAGGGGAAACCUGGCAGACAAGUACCUAACCAAGUGAUCAAGGUUAGCAUCACUUAAGUCAUCUUUUUUUUUUUUUUUUUUGAGAUGGAGUCUUGCUCUGUCUCCCAGGCUGGAGUGCAGUGGCGCAAUCUCAGCUCACUGCAACCUCCGCCUCCCAGGUUCAAGCCAUUCUCCUGCCUGAGCCUCUUGAGCAGCUGGGACUACAGUUGCACGCCACCACGCCCGGCUAAUUUUUGUAUUUUUAGUAGAGACGGGGUUUCACCAUGUUGGCCAGGAUGGUCUGGAUCUCUUGACCUUGUGAUCCACCCGCCUCGGCCUCCCAAAGUCCUGGGAUUACAGGGCGUAAGCCACCGUGCCUGGUCCAUUUUAGUCAUCUUGACAUCACGUAACACCUACUAUGAUGAUACAAGGAGGACACUUUGCCAAUCUGAUGUUCUUCCCCUUAACCCACAAUUCUAGACUAAUAAUGAAAAAAUACCAGACAAAUGCAAAUUAAGGGACAUUGCAUUAUGAGUACUCCAGAAGUAUGUAGAUCAUGAAAAACAAGAAAAGACAGAGCAGCUGUCACAGAUGGGAGAAAACUAAAGCGAUGAGAUGAUUAACUGAAAUGUGGUGUCCUGGACUGGAUCCUGCAACUGGAGGACAUUAGUGGAAAAAAACUGGUGAAAUCCAAAUACAGUGUGUAGUUCAGUUAGUAGUAGUAGUAGUAUACCAUGUUAAUUUCUUAGCUUUGACAAAUAUGUCAUAGGCUUAUGAAGUAUUAACAUGAGGUGGAGCUGCAUGAAGUUAUAUAGGAACUCUGUAAUAUCUUUGCUUCUUUACAGCUAAAAUUGUCAGAAAAUAAAAAGUUUAAAACAAAAAAAGCAAGGAGAGACUUCUGGCGUGACAGCAUAAGGAGCUCUGUGGGCCUAUUCCCCAACAAAACUGUUGAAAAUUAUUAAAAACAAAAAUGAAAACAAAAAAAGUCGUGUCUCUGGAGAUAGUCCUAAGGAUAUACAUCAAAUGAAAAAAUAUUUAUUCAAGAGAAUCUGUCCUUCUGUAAGAACUGCGAGAGUCUGUGGUAUUUGAACCAAGACUAUCUCUUUCCUUCAGCCCUCCCAGUUCAAUGAUAUGGAAACUGUACUCUACAGUGUUGCAGACAAGAACACAGGGCUCUCCCUCUCAGCUUCCAUACAGAGGGCUGUCUUCCCAGCAGGGUAGGAUGUCAGCAUUUCUUAUCUUGCCACCAGAAACUUGCUGAGGCUAAAUCCCUAGUGAGUGCAGCCCCAGAGGCAGGAGCUCCCUUCCUCCACCCAUCCAGUGUUGGUGAGAUGAAGGCCCUUCCUUGGGCAUCAUGAUGCUGAGCACUGGGGAUUCAUCACACUUGCCCCACUGAAAGUCUGUAGUAGUGUACCAUGACAGGGCAGCUGAAAAGACAUGAGACCACUGGCCACCCGCUACCACUGAGCACUCAACCCUCAAAGCAGGAUGUCAGAAGUGGGCCAUUGUUCCCACUCCCAGCUUUAGAACCCAGAUCCAGAGAUACUGCCUGAGGGGACAAGCAGAGAGCCUGGAAAGAAACAUGUGGAGGUACGCCAACCUGAGGUAGAACAAAUAUCAAACAGUUUGGGAACCCAAACAGCCUGAUUUUUUUUUUUUUUUUUUUUGAGACGGAGUUUUGCUCUGUCACCCAGGCUGGAGUGCAAUGGCGUGAUCUCGGCUCACUGCAACCUCUGCCUCCUAGGUUCAAGCUAUUCUCCUGCCUCAUCCCAAGUAGCUGGGAUUACAUUUUUGUAGUUUUUAGUAGAGACAGGGUUUCACCAUGUUGGCCAGGCUGGUCUCGAACUCCUGACCUCAUGUGAUCCACCCGCCUUGGCCUCCCAAAGUGCUGGGACUACAGGUGUGAGCCACCGUGUUCGGUCAAGCCUGAUAAAAAGCUUUGGAGCAAUUUAUGCCUCUGGGUAUUGUUGAAAGUGGUGUCAUUCUGUACUCUCUUCUCAAACCACAUCAGUGGUCUAUAGUGGAAGAAUCAAGAAUACCAGGCUCUCUGGUUAUGAAGGUAAUAUAUGGGUUCCAACCCUAAAAUUCAUCUGGAAUCUGCUGCUUCCUCUUCAUCUCAAGUCUCACUUCAUAGGGAAUCCUUUCAUAACUAGUGUUUGCUCCAGUCAGCUUCUCCUUUCAUUCCUUCUCCCUUCAUUCCUUUCAUUCCUUCUCCUUUCAUUCCUUGUAGCUUCUCCUUUCAUUCCCUGUAGAAUCUGUCUUGUUCUCAUGGAGUCAGGAGCAGAAAUACAUCUCAGGGCCAAAACCAUGACUUUCAGUCUUGAACUGGAAGUUUCCCCUGAAGCCAUAGGCUGGUUGCUGAGAGAAGAGAAAGGGAAAUGGCCUUAACAGCCAGGGGUGACCCCGCAGUCCUACAGUAACAGUCCUACAGUGGUGCCAGGAGACCAUGGGGAUUUCACAGCAUUAUUAUAAAAUCCACUCAACAUUCACUCUACAAAUACUUCUUAGAGAAGCUGAGGGAAGGCACUUUGCAAGAUGAUGUAAAAGAUACAGUGUUGAGCCAGUGCCACCUGGAUUGUAGACAUGUGGUCCAGGUAAUGAGUCUCAGCUUGUAUCAACCAUUCCCUUCUCAUAGAGGCCUCUCCAGAUCUCUUACUCUUUUUUUUUUCUUUUGAGAUGGGGUCUUCCUCUGUAACCCAGGCUGCAGUACUGUAGCAGGGUCAUAGCUCACUGCAGCCUCCACCUCCCAGGCUCAUGUGAUCCUCUCACCUCAGCCUCCUGAGUAACUGGGAUCACAAGCCCACACCAACACACCCAACUAAUUUUUUUUUUAUUUUUUGUAGAGAUGGGGUCUCACUGUGUUGCCCAGCUCCUCUCAAAACUCCUGGGCUCAAGUGCGGAUCUCUUAAUCUAAAGUAGCUCCUCCGGCCAGGUGUGGGGUCCUGUAAUCCCAACACUUGGAGAAGCCGAGGUAGGAGGAACACUUGAGCCCAGGAGUUCAAGACCAGCCUGGGCAACAUAGUGAGACCCCGUCUCUGUGAAAAAUUUAAAAAUUAGCCAGGCGUGGUGGUGGGUACCUAUAGUCCUGGCUACUCGGGAGGCUGAGGGAGGAGGAUCACUUGAGCCACGGCGGUUUAGGCUGCAGUGAGCCAUGAUUGUGCCACUGCAUUCCAGCCCGGGCAACAGAGUGAGAGAACCUGUUUGUUUAAAAAAUAAUAACAAUAAUAAAAAUUUUAAAGUAGUCCCUCACCCCAAUAUUACUCUGCUCUAUUUUUCUUUAGGACAUUCAUAACCAUUUGAAAAUAUAUUUUUAUAUAUUUACUAACUUUUAAUUAAUUAACUCAACAAGUACUUGACUAUCUUGUGAUAGGCUCUGCUCUAAACAGUGGAGAUACAGAGCUGGGCCUGGUGGGUUUGUUCCUGUAGUCCUAGCUACUCAGGACACUGAAACAGGAGGAUCGCUUGAGACCAGGAGUUUGAGACCAGCCUGGGCUAUCUAGCGAAACCCUGUUUCUAAACAAAAAAACAAAAAGUCACAAUGGAGACACAUACAUACCACACACACACACACACACACACACACACAAAAUAAUAAUAAUCCAAAACUCCUAAACAAUAUAGAAGGUUAGGAGUGUUGCGGAGAUAAGACAAACUAGAGCAGAUUAAGAAUCAGUGAGAGUGGGAUAAAGCCAGUUGUGCAAUACAGAGUGGUUGGGACAGGUCUAAUAGGACAGUUAGGCCGGGCGUGGUGGCUCAUGCCUGUAAUCCCAGCACUUUGGGAGGCUGAGGCAGGCAGAUCAUGAGGUCGGGAGAUCGAGACCAUCCUGGCUAACAUGGUGAAACCCCGUCUCUACUAAAAAUACAAAAAAUUAGCUGGCCGUGGUGGUGGGCCCCUGUAGUCCCAGCUACUAGGGAGGCUGAGGCAGGAGAAUCAUUUGAACCCGGGAGGCAGAGGUUGCAGUGAGCCGAGAUCACGCCACUGCUCUCCAGCCUGGGCGACAGAGCAAGACUUCGUCUCAAAAGAAAAAAAAAAAGUGAUGUUUUAGCAUGGACUUGGAGGAAUUAAAGACUCAUCAAGUGGAGAUCUCAGGAAACAGUGUUAUCACUCAGAGAAAACACACAGGACAAUGGAACUGACAGAGCAUCCUGGGUGUUUGUGGAACACCAAGAAGCCUAGUGCGGCUGGAACUGAAUGUGCAUGGAAGUUGGAGAGAUAGAUGGAAACAAAUUGUGUAGUCUUUUAUGCCAGCGUAGAGAGGUUGUAAUAUGUUCCUGUGUGUUCAAAAAUGUACCUGGGGUUUUUUGCAGUAUGGUCUGAUAAGAAACUCGGACAUGCAAAUGAUUGCCAGGAAGGAAGAACUUUCAACUCACGGAGUUUUAGAAACAGUAGGCAAAACACAUCCUGCAGGGCUAUGUGAGAAGCACCAGGGUGGUAUAAGAAGCAGAAGCAGAGGAGAAAGCAGAGGCCAGAUCCUUUAUUGUUUUCCACAGGAAAAGAAAGGCAGGGCUGGGUAACCAGAAGAGGAUUUGCUGGUUUGAAUAAAGUUGGUAGACUUUGGGGUCUAGGAGCUGUCCCUGUCUGCCUAGUACCUGGCCCUGGAGUCAUUAGAGCAAAAAAAAAAAAAAAAAAAAAAAAUUGUCUCCUGUAGUGUAAGAGCCAGACAGAGGAGAUGAUUCACAUUAGGGUACUCUGGAUUUGUUAGUAUGCAAAUAAAAGGCAUGGUUCAGAGUGAGUCAUUUGCAAUCUCUAAGAAUCAGUUAACUCUAAAUGGCAAGGUCCCAAAUUCCAUAGCAUCAACAAUGCAGAAAAUAAGAAAAUAUAGCUAAUACACUGUGAAAUGGGUAGCCAUCAUGGGGUUUUGAGCAGAGCUGUGAUGUUAUCUGAUUUAUGUUUUUGUUUGUUUUUUGAGACGGAGUCUUGCCCUGUCGCCAGGCUGGAGUGUGAUGGCGUGAUCUCGGCUCACUGCAACCUUCUCCUCCUGAGUUCAAGCGAUUCUCCCACCUCAGCCUCUGGAGUAGCUGGGAUUAGAGGCAUGUGCCACCAUGCCCGGGUAAUUUUUUGUAUUUUUAGUAGAGACAGGGUUUCACCGUGUUAGCCAGGAUGGUCUCGAUCUCCUGACCUCGUGAUCCACCCGCCUCAGCCUCCCAAAGUGCUGGGAUUACAGGCGUGAGCCACUGUGCCUGGACUGAUUUAUGUUUUAAAAGGAUCACUCUGGGUAGUCUAUGGAAAUUGGAAUAUGGGAGGGGCAAGAGGGAGAAGUCCUGUUAGGGAGCUCUGGCUCUUUCCAGAUGUGCAAGGUGGAGGAUAACUUAAGCCAAUGUAGUGAGAGGGGAGGUGGUUUACCACAAAGUACAAUUAACAGUAGAUCAAGGAGAACAAUGAGUAAUUGAAUUGAUACAAAUAUAUGGAAAAGUAUGAAUGGCUUUAUGGGAUGGAUUGUUGUUUCUAAAUCUAUCCAUUCCCCACACGAGCUGCUCCAGUGGCUCAGCAUGUUCAUGAUGAUACUGCUGAUAUAUCUUAUAUAAAUGUUAUACUAAAUGUAGAUGCUCAGUAAAUAUGAUUGUUUUGCUGUAAGAGAUUCUAGGCUAGGGCCAGGGCUUUGGUUAUACACGAAAGUGUGAACUCAUCAGGCUUCAGUUGCUCAGAUGCUAUACAUUCUAAAGAAAGAAAUGGCCCUUGAUCAGCUCCAGGAAGACAAUCUCUGAGUUUCUGGAAUAUUUUGCCUGGUAAAAGUAAUUUUUAAGCCUGAGUCCAUAGGCCUUCAUGUAUCGAUUUGAUGAGAUAAUUUAUUCUAAGAACAUUGUUACUGAAAAGGGGUCCCAAUCCAGACCUCAAGAGGGUUCUUGGAUCUUCCACAAAAAAGAAUUCGGGGUGAGUCCAUAAUGAAAGCAAGUUUAUUAAGAAAGUAAAGGGGCCAGGCGCGGUGGCUCACGCCUGUAAUCCUAGCACUUUGGGAGGCCGAGGAGGGUGGAUCACCUGAGGUCAGGAGUUUGAGACCAGCCAGGCCAUCAUGGCAAAACCCCAUCUCUACUAAAAACACAAAAAUUAGCCGGGCGUGGUGGCACAUGCCUGUAAUCCCAGCCACUCGAGAGGCUGAGGCAGGAGAAUCGCUUGAACCCGGGAAGCAGAGGUUGCAGUGAGCCAAGAUCAUGCCAUUACACUCCAGCCUGGGCAACAGAGCAAGACUCCGUCUCAAAAAAAAAAAAAAAAAAAAGGAAUACAAAAUGGCUACUCCAUAGGCAGAGCAGUAGUUUGGGCUGCUGGACUAAGGCUACUUAUAGUUAUUUAUUGAUUAUAUGCUAAAGGAGGGUUGGAUUAUUCACGAGUUUCCCAGGAAAGGGGUGAGCAGUUCUCAGAACUGAGGGUUCCUCUCCUUUUUAGACCAUAUAGGGUAACUUCCUGACAUUGCCAUGGCAUUUGUAAACUGUCAUGGUGCUGCUGAGAGUGACUUUUUGCAUGCUAAUGCAUAAUUGGGAUAUAAUGGGCAGUGAGGAUGACCUUGGUUUUGGCCGUCUUGGUUUUGGUGGGUUUUGGCCGUCUUGGUUUUGGCCGUCUUGGUUUUGGUGGGUUUUGGCCGUCUUGGUUUUGGCCGUCUUGGUUUUGGUGGGUUUUGGCCGUCUUGGUUUUGGCCGUCUUGGUUUUGGUGGGUUUUGGCCGUCUUGGUUUUGGCCAGCUUCUUUACCACAAGCUGUUUUAUCAGCAGGGUUUUUGUGAGCAGUGUCUUGCACCAAACUCCUGUCUCCUCCUGUGACUUAGAAUGCCUAACUUCCUGGGAAUGCAGCACAGGUCUCAGCCUCAUUUUGCCCAGCCCCUAUUCAAGACGGAUUUGCUGUGGUUCAAAUGCUUCUGACAAUAUUCCUCAUGGUGAAUGCUGGAUUUUGCAUGCCCGAGGCCCUGGGCCACACUGUAUGUUUGCUUUUUGCAAGGGCUGUAUGGCUAUGACUAGUUAUGUGGACCCUGCAUUCCUAUGUAAAUGACCCUCCAUAAAAACCCCAGAAAUGAAUGCUUGAGUGAACUUCCCUGGCUUGUAUUAUAAUACUGUGAACAUCUUGUCACACAUCUUUGCUGGGGGAAUUAAGUGUGUCCCUAUGUGACCGUAAUGGGAGAUAACACCCAGAGUUUUGUGCCUGCUUUCAUGUGGACUUCAUUCUAUGUGAUUUUUCCCUUUGGUGAUCCUGGUCUAUAUCCUUUUAUUGUAAUAAACUAUAACCAUAACAGCUUUUCUGAGUCUUGUGUGUACUUCUAGCAAAUCAUGAAGCCUGAGGUAAGUAACCUAAAAUAUCAAGAUGAUUAAGGCCAUUCAUCCACGUAUCCAUUUAGCAGAUAUCUGAAUAUCUACUACUGACUAGGAACUAUGUGCAUGGAACAAUUAGGAUAAAAUCCAUAUUAACAUCUGUGCUCUUUUGAAGCUGGAAAUCUAGUUGGUGAGACAGUCAGGAGUCAGUAAUCAAACCUAAAUAUAUAUGCAUGUGUAUGCACACACACACACAGAUAUUUAUGAAAGAAUGCUUAUGACGUAGCUGGGAUGAAGGAUAAAUAUUCACUACUGGACAAAGUGUGUGGUGGAAAAGCCCCAUGGCAGGUGGGAAAAGGAAACACAAAGUGAAAACAGAAAGGGCAUAAGUUAUGCAAGAUGAAAGGUAGUAAAUGAGGCACCUCCCAGACCAGAUAAAGCUCAGAUAAAGCCCAAAGGAUUGACCGUGUAAUGAUUUGGGAGUUGUUUUUAGAGAUGAGGUCUCACUUUGUUGCCCAGGCUGGUCUCAAAUACCUGGGCUCAAGCAAUCCUCCUACCUUGGCCUCCCAAAGUGCUGAGAUUACAGUUGUGAACUACCACACCUGGCCAUAUUUGGUUUUUAUCCCAAGAGUUGAAGCCAUAAAAAGUUUUCAGGAAACGUAGUGGGGGCAGAGGGAGGGCGAAGCAGAGCACUAUUAAAUCUGAGAUGGUUCUCUGGUUUCAGCUUAGAGAAUGGAUUGAAGAGAAAAUGUGGGUAAAAGGACACUAAUUGAGAUGAUAGAUGGUGAGUGGAUGGACUAGGAAGAGGUGGUAGAGAGAAGUGGACAUACUUGAGAGAUAUUUAAGAAUUAAAAAUGAUGGGGCCGGGGCAGUGGCUCACACCUGUAAUCCCAGCACUUUGGGAGGCCAAGGCAGGCAGAUCACAAGGUCAGGAGAUUGAGACCAUUCUGGCCAACGUGGUGAAACCCCGUCUCUACUAAAAAUACAAAAAUUAGCUGGGUGUGGUGGCAUGCACCUAUAAUCCCAGCUACUCAGGAGGCUGAGGCAGGAGAAUUGCUUGAACCCAGGAGGCGGAGGUUGCAGUGAGCCGAGUUCGCACCACUGCUCCAGCCUGGGGACAGAACGAGAUUCUGUGUUAAAAAAAAAACAAACAAAAAAACACAACUUUCUGAUUGUACAUGAAGGAGGAAGAGAUUGAGGUAACUAUGCUGAGUUGGAAAUUUCUAGCCAACGUAACUAAACAGUGCCAUGUAGUAAAGAGGGAAGACUGAAGUAGAUCAGAGUCAGGGAGAAGCAUUUUAUUGAUCUUAUUUACAUCAGGUGAAGAAUGAGGUAUCUUUGAAACAUCUAUGUGAAGAUAGCAAGAAGAUAACUGGUAAUUCAGGUCCAGAGCUGUAAGGAUUGCUCAAGACUGGGGUAUUCUAUUUUCAAUGCCUUUAAAGUAAGGGAGGUAACUGAAGCCAAGGGCACAGAUGAGGCUGGGGAGAGGCCAUACAAGGCAAAAGAGCCUUGGACAAAACCUUUAGGUAUUUCAACAUUGAGUGGGCAGCUAGAUAUGGAUGACUGCACAAAGAAGGGAGAGAGGGAGGGAACGAAUGAGGAAAAAGAUGUUACAGAGCCAAGGAAAGAGAACAUAUUUCACGAAUUGAGUAUUAGACACAAUAAAAUUCUACUGAUGGCCCAAGAAUGACAAGGACUUGUGAUUUAUAAGCACCAAGUCACUUCUGACCUUAGUCACAAUGUCGGAGAAGGUGGCAUUGUAGCAAGGAGUUCCACAAAGAGUAGAGGUUUGGGAAGUGGAGAGAAAUCAAGAAAGAGGUAAUGGAGAAGUGAAAAUAUUACACAAAAAAGGAAAACAUCCCUAAGAGGCUCCUCUAUUAAAGGAGGAGAGGGAGGAAAGGACAAAUAAUCAAGUUGGAGAAACCCAUACACACACAGGAAAGACCAGACUGGUGGUGACUGACACUCAAGCAGAAGUCAGUUAUGCAAAGAUAACUUAGAAAGUGUAAGUGACAAAAGAACAUGCAGAUGAAAAACAGGCUUGUAGGUGGCCAUGAUGACAUCGAAGGCAAAUGUCAGGAGGAAACUCAAGAUUGCAAAGAAAGUGACCACUGCUUAUGUGUGAUUCCAGGGAUCAACAAGAGACAGAGUGAGAAGGGACCACUUCAAACACGUGUCAUUUUACCCAAGAGCAGGGACAUGGAAUGGCACUGGGAAGGGCAAACAGGUAUGUUGAGAGGCUAUACAACUGCAAUGCCGUAGAUCAUAAGAAAAGAGAGUUAAUGCAGAUGCCUGAGAAUAUCAAGCAAACAAAUGGGCCGGGCGCGGUGGCUCACGCCUGUAAUCCCAGCACUUUGGGAGGCUGAGGUGGGCAGAUCACUUGAGGUCAGGAGUUUGAGACCAGCCUCGAUAUGGAGAAACCCCAUCUCUCCUAAAAAUACAAAAUUAGCCAGGCAUGGUGG